This 292-nucleotide ribosomal RNA is filed under the name uncultured bacterium. Its description in RNAcentral is "partial 16S ribosomal RNA". It matches the Rfam family "Bacterial small subunit ribosomal RNA", at positions 505 to 796 of the family's 1533-position model. The record is from RNAcentral.
GUGCCAGCCGCCGCGGUAAUACAGAGGGUGCGAGCGUUAAUCGGAAUUACUGGGCGUAAAGCACGCGUAGGCGGUUUUGUAAGUCGGGUGUGAAAUCCCCAAGCUUAACUUGGGAACUGCAUUCGAGACUGCAUAGCUAGAGUAUGGGAGAGGGAAGUGGAAUUUCAGGUGUAGCGGUGAAAUGCGUAGAUAUCUGAAGGAACAUCAGUGGCGAAAGCGACUUCCUGGACCAAUACUGACGCUCAUGUGCGAAAGCGUGGGGAGCAAACAGGAUUAGAUACCCUGGUAGUCC